Molecule: transfer RNA, 91 nt
Filed under: Nocardia farcinica
Lineage: Bacteria; Bacillati; Actinomycetota; Actinomycetes; Mycobacteriales; Nocardiaceae
Description: tRNA-Arg(ccg)
Source: RNAcentral
CCGCUGCGGGGGCGGCGGUUCCCGGCGCGGUCGUCUCCGGCGCGAUCCCGGCGCGGUCGGCGCCCGCGCCGGUGCUUCCCGCCGGGUCGGU